UUCGCAAUGCCCGAAAGGGUGACGAAGCGACGCCGCGUGCGGGAAGAAGGCCUUCGGGUUGUAAACCGCUGUCGGGAGUUAAGAAAUGCAAGGAUGUUAAUAGUAUCUUUGCUUGACUAAGGCUCCGGAGGAAGCCACGGCUAACUCUGUGCCAGCAGCCGUGGUAAUACAGAGGCGGCAAGCGUUGUUCGGAAUUAUUGGGCGUAAAGAGCACGUAGGCGGCUCUGUAAGUCAGCUGUGAAAGCCUUCUGCUUAACGGAAGAACGGCAGUUGAAACUACAGGGCUUGAGUGCGGGAGGGGAGAGUGGAACUUCUGGUGGAGCGGUGAAAUGCGUAGAUAUCAGAAGGAACGCCGGCGGCGAAAGCGGCUCUCUGGUCCGUAACUGACGCUGAGUGUGCGAAAGUUAGGGGAGCAAACGGGAUUAGAUACCCCGGUAGUCCUAACUGUAAACGAUGGGCACUAAGUAGAGGGGUUUU
RNAcentral lists this ribosomal RNA (477 nucleotides) under uncultured anaerobic ammonium-oxidizing bacterium. RNAcentral describes it as "bacterial SSU rRNA". It matches the Rfam family "Bacterial small subunit ribosomal RNA", at positions 365 to 832 of the family's 1533-position model. The record is from RNAcentral.